UACGUAGGGUGCAAGCGUUAAUCGGAAUUACUGGGCGUAAAGCGUGCGCAGGCGGUUGUGCAAGCCAGAUGUGAAAUCCCCGGGCUCAACCUGGGAACUGCAUUUGUGACUGCAUGGCUAGAGUACGGUAGAGGGGGAUGGAAUUCCGCGUGUAGCAGUGAAAUGCGUAGAUAUGCGGAGGAACACCGAUGGCGAAGGCAAUCCUCUGGACCUGUACUGACGCUCAUGCACGAAAGCGUGGGGAGCAAACAGG
RNAcentral lists this ribosomal RNA (253 nucleotides) under uncultured bacterium. RNAcentral's name for it is "partial 16S ribosomal RNA". It matches the Rfam family "Bacterial small subunit ribosomal RNA", at positions 524 to 776 of the family's 1533-position model. The record is from RNAcentral.